Delphinapterus leucas (beluga whale) is the source of this 2117-nucleotide long non-coding RNA. The record is from Ensembl. Lineage: Eukaryota; Metazoa; Chordata; Mammalia; Artiodactyla; Monodontidae.
UCCUGGGCUGUGGCAGGUCAGGCCGCCAGGCAGAGCCUCCGUUCCUGAGCAGAGCUGGGGGCUCUGCUAGGAGAUCCUGCCCUCAGCCCUCCUGACUGACGUGUGGCGCAUCCCAGGCCUUCCCCAAGGAGGCCCCGGCCAUGUUCCACUCACAGCAGAAAGUCAAAGGUGGUGUCAAUCUUCCAGCUCCUGGGGUUGGUUCCUGGAACCUCACACUCCCAGGACCUGGUGCGGCUCUGUGGACAAGCUUCCAGCAGGGCCUGGCUGCCGUCUCCACAGCAAGCUGGGUGGAACGUCCUGCUGGUGACCCCUUGGUGCACGGGGUGGACUUUCUCUGGGAUGUGCAUCCAGGAAGAGAAGCGCUGGGCCAAAGGGCACGUGAAGCUUGAACUGUCCAGUGUGGAUGCGCCCUGGGGCGCACACACCCUUGGGGAGCUGGCCGUCACCUCCCCUGUCCUUGUAGCAGGUCUUGCCUAGGGGCACGAAUGAAAUCUCACACGGUUGCCAUUCGUCAUUUCCUGUCCCUCAGGUGUUCCGUCGGCUUUGGAAUCUGAGUGGGAAGGGACAGAGAUGGGCAGGCUGGAGCAGGUCAUCAGUGAGGACCUGGAGAGGCCUCAGACCCGCUGCCCGGAGGCCCUGGGACUGGCAGAAAGGCCCAGGCUAGCGCAGGCCAGCCCUGGUCUAGGUGUAGCCCAGAUUCAGGUUCCUGCUCUGAGCAGCGGUGGGAGUGGCAGCUGUGACCCGUGAGAGAGACCCCAGGGCCUGGGGGCUUGUCUUCACUCCCACUGCCUCAGCUUUAAGCACACAACCUUUCUGGCUUCAGAACCCCAUCUUCCAACACAGCUCAUUUCUGAAUCCCUGGAGCCCCUCCUUCCUGGCCAGCCAGACACUUUUUGGACCAAUGAAUGAGCAAAUGACCCAUGAAUGCAUGAAUGAAUGAAUGAAAAACAGACUAGCUGGAGAAGACUUCACUUGGGAGGCAAGAUGUCCACUGACUUAGGGAUGUUAAAUCACCUCCAGCCAACUGCUUAAGGUAAUGGGUUCCAACAGGUCUUUGGGCGAGUGGGGGUCUGAGGUCCCCCUGGGUGAGCCCUCCACCCUCAUCAGAGCCAGGCCUGGCCAGGGGACACAGGGCUGGGGCUCCGGCUUCCCGUCCUCUCAGGCACCCUUGCUUCAAGCAGGCCAGGUGCCACCCCUCACCUGUCAACUCCUGUGACCUGUGGAAUGUACGGCCAGGCCCAGCAGCUUGGUGGGCAGGGGAGAGAGAGCAGAGUGGCAGGCCCCAGGCCGGGGUCAAGGAUGGCAAUGCAGUCGGGUGUCGGUGGUCUCCAGGGAGGUGACAAUGGCCUCUGAGUGAUCUGAGAGGAGCCACCCAGAAUGAGGUCCACCUUGCUGACCAAGCCCUGCAAAGGGGAGGAGGGGCCAGAAAUAUGCCCACGGAGACCAGGAAGGGGCAACUGCUACCGGCCUGGGGGCCUCUACCCGCUCACCUGCUGACAGGCCCUCCUGCGUACAUGGCCCGACCCUGGAGAGAGGAAGGUGAGUGACACUGGAGCCCUCGGGCUGGCUUUUCGGGGCCAGUGCUUGGGGCCAGGAGCCGCCUAUGGGAUUCCUUGGCGGUGUCUUGCGGCCUCUCCAGGAAAGGACACCACUGGGGGAGGGCACUGCCACUUGUCCCAGGCCUGCCUCCUGGGAACACGGCCCCGAGCCCUCUCCCCACGCAGCCCCUGGCAGUGUGGGCGGGGGCCGGUGUGCCUGGUGAGCUGGAGUGUGACUCAGCCGGAGGUGCAUGCCAAUGAGUGGCGGAACGUUGCCUGCCAGAUUAAAUUAGGUGCCUCAGAAUUAAAACUACAUAUUUAUUUUAACCGGUCGAGGUGUUCGGAGGGAGAUGAAAGGGAGGGGAGAUGAAAUAUUACAAACUAGAUGAUUAAGACUGCAGAGAGGUGCGUGUGCUGGGAUGGGAGCCGGGAGGGUGAAUUGUGAAUCCCCCUCUCGUGCCAGUUUAGAGUGAGAAAAGGGAGUUUGACACAAAGAGGAAAAAAAUAAACAGGAAACCAACACCCAGCCCAGCCAUCCGAGAGGGUGCGUUAGUGCUCAUUCUGGGAAGGGGAGCGGCG